Molecule: ribosomal RNA, 788 nt
Filed under: Exiguobacterium sp. PS
Lineage: Bacteria; Bacillati; Bacillota; Bacilli; Caryophanales
Description: bacterial SSU rRNA
Rfam family: Bacterial small subunit ribosomal RNA
Source: RNAcentral
AGUUUGAUCCUGGCUCAGGACGAAUGCGGGCGGCGUGCCUUAUACCUUCAAGUUGAGCGCUAGAAGACGUAUGAACCCUUCGGGGGGACGUUGGUGGAAUGAGCGGCGGACGUGUGAGUAACACGUAAAGAACCAGUCCAUUGGUCUGGGAUAAACACGAGAAAUCGGGGCUAAUACUGGAUGUGUCAUCGGACCGCAUGGUCCGCUGAUGAAAGGCGCUCCGGCGUCGCCCAUGGAUGGCUAUGCGGUGCAUUAGCUAGUUGGUGGGGUAACGGCCCACCAAGGCGACGAUGCAUAGCCGACCUGAGAGGGUGAUCGGCCACACUGGGAUUGAGACACGGCCCAGAGUCCUACGGGAGGCAGCAGUAGGGAAUCUUCCACAAUGGACGAAAGUUUGAUGGAGCAACGCCGCGUGAACGAUGAAGGCUUUCGGGUCGUAAAGUUCUGUUGUAAGGGAAGAACAAGUGCCGCAGGCAAUGGUGGCACCUUGACGGUACCUUGCGAGAAAGCCAUGGCUAACUACGUGUCAGCAGCCGCGGUAAUACGUAGGUGGCAAGCGUUGUCCGGAAUUAUUGGGCGUAAAGCGCGCGCAGGCGGCCUUUUAAUUAUGAUGUGAAAGCCCCCGGCUCAACCUGGGAGGGCCAUUGGAAAUUGGGAGGCUUGAGUAUAGGAGAGAAGAGUGGAAUUCCACGUGUAGCGGUGAAAUGCGUAGAGAUGUGGAGGAACACCAGUGGCGAAGGCGACUCUUUGGCCUAUAACUGACGCUGAGGCGGAGGAUCCUAAAUUGG